Molecule: non-coding RNA, 23 nt
Filed under: Bombyx mori (domestic silkworm)
Lineage: Eukaryota; Metazoa; Arthropoda; Insecta; Lepidoptera; Bombycidae
Also listed under: 3 other names
Source: RNAcentral
UGAAUCCAGCGAUCCGAGUUCAA